CCUACGGGGGGCUGCAGUCGAGAAUAUUCCACAAUGGACGAAAGUCUGAUGGAGCGACGCCGCGUGCGGGAAGACGGCCCUUGGGUUGUAAACCGCUUUUCUCAUGGAGCAAUUCGUGAGAGUACAUGAGGAAUAAGAGGUUACUAACUCUGUGCCAGCAGUAGCGGUAAUACAGAGACCUCGAGCGUUAUCCGGAUUUAUUGGGCGUAAAGCGCGUGUAGGCGGACCUGUUAGUCGGGUGUCAAAUCUCCGGGCCCAACCCGGAAACUGCAUCUGAAACGGCAGGUCUAGAGAGAGCGAGGGACCAGUGGAACGUAUGGUGUAGCAGUGAAAUGCGUUGAUAUCAUACGGAACACCGAAGGCGAAGGCAGCUGGUUGGCGCUCUUCUGACGCUGAGACGCGAAAGCGUGGGUAGCGAAUGGGCUUAGAUACCCGAGUAGUC
This 442-nucleotide ribosomal RNA is filed under the name uncultured bacterium. Its description in RNAcentral is "bacterial SSU rRNA". It matches the Rfam family "Bacterial small subunit ribosomal RNA", at positions 338 to 795 of the family's 1533-position model. The record is from RNAcentral.